GCCUUCGUGGUGUAAUGGCUAACACAUUCGGCGAGUCUCGAGAGGUCCGAGGUUCGAGUCCCGGCAAGGGCA
RNAcentral lists this transfer RNA (72 nucleotides) under Stegodyphus mimosarum. It matches the Rfam family "tRNA". From Rfam's summary of the family: Transfer RNA (tRNA) molecules are approximately 80 nucleotides in length. Their secondary structure includes four short double-helical elements and three loops (D, anti-codon, and T loops). The record is from Rfam by way of RNAcentral. Lineage: Eukaryota; Metazoa; Arthropoda; Arachnida; Araneae; Eresidae.